ACAAGCAGCGGAGCAUGUGGUUUAAUUCGAAGCAACGACGAAGAACCUUACCAGAUCUUGACAUCCAAUUGACCAUCUUUUAAUCGAGAUUUUGCCCUUCGGGUACAAUUGAGACAGGUGGUGCAUGGUUGUCGUCAGCUCGUGUCGUGAGAUGUUGGGUUAAGUCCCGCAACGAGCGCAACCCUUGUGUUUAGUUGCAAACAGGUCAAGCUGUGCACUCUAGACAGACUGCCGUGGACAACACGGAGGAAGGUGGGGAUGACGUCAAAUCAUCAUGCCCCUUAUGAUCUGGGCUACACACGUGCUACAAUGGCCGGUACAACGGGCAGCGAAGGAGCGAUCCGGAGCGAAUCCUAAAAAGACCGGUCCCAGUUCGGAUUGCAGGCUGAAACUCGCCUACAUGAAGUUGGAGUUGCUAGUAAUCGCGCAUCAGCCAUGGCGCGGUGAAUACGUUCCCGGGCCUU
RNAcentral lists this ribosomal RNA (464 nucleotides) under uncultured Fusibacter sp. RNAcentral's name for it is "bacterial SSU rRNA". It matches the Rfam family "Bacterial small subunit ribosomal RNA", at positions 925 to 1382 of the family's 1533-position model. Lineage: Bacteria; Bacillati; Bacillota; Clostridia; Eubacteriales; Fusibacteraceae. The record is from RNAcentral.